Molecule: ribosomal RNA, 468 nt
Filed under: uncultured bacterium
Lineage: Bacteria
Description: partial 16S ribosomal RNA
Rfam family: Bacterial small subunit ribosomal RNA
Source: RNAcentral
GAUGAACGCUGGCGGCGUGCUUAACACAUGCAAGUCGAACGGAAAGGCCCAAGCUUGCUUGGGUACUCGAGUGGCGAACGGGUGAGUAACACGUGGGUGAUCUGCCCUGCACUUCGGGAUAAGCCUGGGAAACUGGGUCUAAUACCGGAUAGGACGAUGGUUUGGAUGCCAUUCUGGAAAGUUUUUUCGGUGUGGGAUGAGCUCGCGGCCUAUCAGCUUGUUGGUGGGGUAAUGGCCUACCAAGGCGUCGACGGGUAGCCGGCCUGAGAGGGUGUACGGCCACAUUGGGACGGAGAUACGGCCCAGACUCCUACGGGAGGCAGCAGUGGGGAAUAUUGCACAAUGGGAGCAAGCCUGAGGCAGCGACGCCGCGUGGGGGAUGAAGGCCUUCGGGUUGUAAACUCCUUUCGCUAGGGACGAAGCGUUUUUGUGACGGUACCUGGAGAAGAAGCACCGGCUAACUACGUG